GAUGAACGCUGGCGGCGUGCCUAAUACAUGCAAGUCGAGCGAACGGACGAGAAGCUUGCUUCUCUGAUGUUAGCGGCGGACGGGUGAGUAACACGUGGAUAACCUACCUAUAAGACUGGGAUAACUUCGGGAAACCGUAGCUAAUACCGGAUAAUAUUUUGAACCGCAUGGUUCAAAAGUGAAAGACGGUCUUGCUGUCACUUAUAGAUGGAUCCGCGCUGCAUCAGCUAGUUGGUAAGGUAACGGCUUACCAAGGCAACGAUGCAUAGCCGACCUGAGAGGGUGAAGGGCCACACUGGAACUGAGACACGGUCCAGACUCCUACGGGAGGCAGCAGUAGGGAAGCUUCCGCAAUGGGCGAAAGCCUGACGGAGCAACGCCGCGUGAGUGAUGAAGGUCUUCGGAUCGUAAAACUCUGUUAUUAGGGAAGAACAUAUGUGUAAGUAACUGUGCACAUCUUGACGGUACCUAAUCAGAAAGCCACGGCUAACUACGUG
Molecule: ribosomal RNA, 497 nt
Filed under: uncultured bacterium
Lineage: Bacteria
Description: partial 16S ribosomal RNA
Rfam family: Bacterial small subunit ribosomal RNA
Source: RNAcentral